CCUACGGGAGGCAGCAGUGAGGAAUAUUGGUCAAUGGACGCAAGUCUGAACCAGCCAUGCCGCGUGCAGGAAGACGGCUCUAUGAGUUGUAAACUGCUUUUGUACGAGGGUAAACGCAGAUACGCGUACCUGUCUGAAAGUAUCGUACGAAUAAGGAUCGGCUAACUCCGUGCCAGCAGCCGCGGUAAUACGGAGGAUUCGAGCGUUAUCCGGAUUUAUUGGGUUUAAAGGGUGCGUAGGCGGUCGGAUAAGUUAGAGGUGAAAUCCCGAGGCUCAACUUUGGAAUUGCCUCUGAUACUGUCCGGCUAGAGAGUAGUUGCGGUAGGCGGAAUGCAUGGUGUAGCGGUGAAAUGCUUAGAGAUCAUACAGAACACCGAUUGCGAAGGCAGCUUACCAAGCUACUUCUGACGUUGAGGCACGAAAGCGUGGGGAGCAAACAGGAUUAGAUACCCCAGUAGUC
Molecule: ribosomal RNA, 460 nt
Filed under: uncultured bacterium
Lineage: Bacteria
Description: partial 16S ribosomal RNA
Rfam family: Bacterial small subunit ribosomal RNA
Source: RNAcentral